ACGGGAGGCAGCAGUGGGGAAUAUUGCACAAUGGGGGAAACCCUGAUGCAGCAACGCCGCGUGAGUGAAGAAGUAUUUCGGUAUGUAAAGCUCUAUCAGCAGGGAAGAUAAUGACGGUACCUGACUAAGAAGCUCCGGCUAAAUACGUGCCAGCAGCCGCGGUAAUACGUAUGGAGCAAGCGUUAUCCGGAUUUACUGGGUGUAAAGGGUGCGCAGGCGGCCUGCUAAGUCUCCGGUGAAAUGUCAGGGCUCAACCUUGGCACUGCCGGAGAUACUGGCGGGCUUGAGAGUGGCGGACGUCGCCGGAAUGUGUGGUGUAGCGGUGAAAUGCUUAGAUAUCACGCAGAAUACCGAUUGCGAAGGCAGGCGACGAUACCAUUUCUGACGCUCAGGCACGAAAGCGUGGGGAUCGAACAGGAUUAGAUACCCUGGUA
Molecule: ribosomal RNA, 434 nt
Filed under: uncultured Lachnospiraceae bacterium
Lineage: Bacteria; Bacillati; Bacillota; Clostridia; Lachnospirales; Lachnospiraceae
Description: partial 16S ribosomal RNA
Rfam family: Bacterial small subunit ribosomal RNA
Source: RNAcentral